UACGUAGGGUGCGAGCGUUGUCCGGAAUUAUUGGGCGUAAAGGGCUCGUAGGCGGCUUGUUACGUCGUUCGUGAAAACCCGAGGCUCAACCUCGGGCUUGCGGUCGAUACGGGCAGGCUAGAGUUCGGUAGGGGAGACUGGAAUUCCUGGUGUAGCGGUGAAAUGCGCAGAUAUCAGGAGGAACACCGAUGGCGAAGGCAGGUCUCUGGGCCGAUACUGACGCUGAGGAGCGAAAGCGUGGGGAGCGAACAGG
Molecule: ribosomal RNA, 253 nt
Filed under: uncultured bacterium
Lineage: Bacteria
Description: partial 16S ribosomal RNA
Rfam family: Bacterial small subunit ribosomal RNA
Source: RNAcentral